UCAAACAUAUGUAGAGGAAAUUGUAAUAACAUAAUCUUUAAAGUUGGCUUCCUGACCUCUAUUCCAAUUAUAUUUUAUGUGUUUUCAGACUUGCCUCUGGCAUUGAUGGCAUUCCUGCUCAAGUGAAGGUGACAAAGCAUCCAUGGAACAGUGUCCCUAAUCACAGUGAUAAGAAGCAGUCUGUAACCCUCUGUGGGAAAUAGCUUUUGGGAGGAUGGCAGAAAGUUGAGAGGGAGAGACAGAAGAUGAGAAGCAUAACCUCUGUCAAACUGGCUGAGCAUCGAAAAUGGAGGCCCAGAGAAAUAGAUGAUGUCAUUAGGGGCACAGCCGGUGCCUGGUCCCAGAAAAGCCUCUCAGGUGGAA
Molecule: long non-coding RNA, 363 nt
Organism: Gambusia affinis (western mosquitofish)
Lineage: Eukaryota; Metazoa; Chordata; Actinopteri; Cyprinodontiformes; Poeciliidae
Exons: 4
Source: RefSeq, a predicted model, not a curated record